This 29-nucleotide non-coding RNA is filed under the name Mus musculus (house mouse). Lineage: Eukaryota; Metazoa; Chordata; Mammalia; Rodentia; Muridae. The record is from RNAcentral.
UUGGACGAGGGAAAUAACGAGCCAAGACA